RNAcentral lists this transfer RNA (67 nucleotides) under Marmota monax (woodchuck). RNAcentral describes it as "tRNA.Ala". The record is from RNAcentral. Lineage: Eukaryota; Metazoa; Chordata; Mammalia; Rodentia; Sciuridae.
GGAUUGUGGCUCAGUGGUAGAGUGCUCACCUAGCACGGGUGGGACUCGGGUUUGAUCCUCAGCACCA